RNAcentral lists this non-coding RNA (25 nucleotides) under Gallus gallus (chicken). The record is from miRBase by way of RNAcentral. Lineage: Eukaryota; Metazoa; Chordata; Aves; Galliformes; Phasianidae.
UGAGAUGAUGAAUCCUUUCUGAUCA